RNAcentral lists this ribosomal RNA (609 nucleotides) under uncultured Fusobacteriota bacterium. Its description in RNAcentral is "bacterial SSU rRNA". It matches the Rfam family "Bacterial small subunit ribosomal RNA", at positions 81 to 704 of the family's 1533-position model. Lineage: Bacteria; Fusobacteriati; Fusobacteriota. The record is from RNAcentral.
UAACUUCGAUUUGGGUGGUGGACGGGUGAGUAACGCGUAAAGAACUUGCCUCACAGACAGGGACAACAUUUGGAAACGAAUGCUAAUACCUGAUAUUAUGAUUUUAGGGCAUCCUAGGAUUAUGAAAGCUAUAUGCGCUGUGAGAGAGCUUUGCGUCCCAUUAGCUAGUUGGAGAGGUAACGGCUCACCAAGGCGAUGAUGGGUAGCCGGCCUGAGAGGGUGAUCGGCCACAAGGGGACUGAGACACGGCCCUUACUCCUACGGGAGGCAGCAGUGGGGAAUAUUGGACAAUGGACCAAGAGUCUGAUCCAGCAAUUCUGUGUGCACGAUGAAGUUUUUCGGAAUGUAAAGUGCUUUCAGUUGGGAAGAAAAAAAUGACGGUACCAACAGAAGAAGUGACGGCUAAAUACGUGCCAGCAGCCGCGGUAAUACGUAUGUCACAAGCGUUAUCCGGAUUUAUUGGGCGUAAAGCGCGUCUAGGUAGUUAUAUAAGUCUGAUGUGAAAAUGCAGGGCUCAACUCUGUAUUGCGUUGGAAACUGUGUAACUAGAGUACUGGAGAGGUAAGCGGAACUACAAGUGUAGAGGUGAAAUUCGUAGAUAUUUGUAGG